UAAUAUUACCUCAUAUGUUGUGACGGUUUUCUUAAUGUCCCGUCGCCUUUUUUUUAAAUUUUUAUUUAAUAUCCUUAAAUUUAAAUAUCUUAUAUCGUUACGUUAUUCGUACAAAUAUGCACUCAAUUAUUGGUUUAAGGUUAUUUCAUUCUAAUAUUUAUAUUUUGGGGUUGUUACUUAUUUGUUACUUAUUAGAUAAAUGGUCGACGCGGACUCGGCCCGUUGCUGCGAUGAUUCAUGAUAACUCAAAGGAUUGCAUGGCUAUUGUGCCGACAAUGCAUAAUUCAAAUUUCUGUCCUAUCAAGUUUCAAUGGUAGGAUAGUGGCCUACCAUGGUAGUGACGGCUGGCGGAGAAUUAGGGUUCGAUUUCGAAGAGGGAGCCCGAGAAAUAGCUACCACAUCCAAGGAACGCAGAAGGCGCGCAAAUUACUCAAUCCUGAUAUGGGGAGGUAGUGACAAUAAAUAACAAUACAGGAUCAAUGAGUCUGGUAAUUUGAAUGAGUACAAUCUAAAUCCCUUAACGAAGAUCUAUUAGAGGGAGAGUCUGGUGCCAGCAGCCGUAGUAAUUCCAGCACCAAUAGCAUAUAUUUAAGUUGUUGCAUUUAAAAAGCUCGAAUUUGGACUUUGGGAUUGGCCAGUCGGCCCGCCUAUGGUGUGCAUUGGUCAUCUCCUCCCUUCUAUCCGUGAUGCGCUCCUGGACUUAACUGGCCGGGACGUGCCUCCGGCGCUGUUACUUUAAAGAAAUUAGAGUGCUUAAAGCAAGCCUACGCUCGAUAUACAUUAGCAUGGGAUAACAUUAUAGGAUUUCGGUCCUAUUACAUUGGCCUUCGGGAUUGAAGUAAUGAUUAACAGGGACAGUCGGGGGGAUUCGUAUUUCAUAGUCUGAGGUGAAAUUAUUGGAUUUAUGAAAUACGAACAACUGCGAAAGCAUUUUGGAAGGAUUUUUUCAUUAAUUAAGAAUGAAAGUUGGGGUUUAGAAGGUGGUCAGAUACCGUCCUAAUCUCAACUAUAAACGAUGCCGACCAGGGAUCGGCGGAUGUUGCUUUUAGGACUCCGCCGGCACCUUAUGAGAAAUCAAAGUUUUUGGGUUCCGGGGGGAGUAUGGUCGCAAGGCUGAAACUUAAAGGAAUUGACGGAAGGGCACCACCAGGAGUGGAGCCUGCGGCUUAAUUUGACUCAACACGGGGAAACUUACCAGGUCCAGACAUAGUAAGGAUUGACAGACUGAGAGCUCUUUCUUGAUUCUAUGGGUGGUGGUGCAUGGCCGUUCUUAGUUGGUGGAGCGAUUUGUCUGGUUAAUUCCGUUAACAAAUGAGACCUCCGCCUGCUAACUAGCUAUGUGGAGGUAGCCCUUCACGGCCAGCUUCUUAGAGGGACUACGACCUUUUAGGCCGCAGAAGUUUGAGGCAAUAAAAGGUUUGUGAUGCCCUUACAUGUUUUGGGCCGUACGCACACUACACUGAUGUAUUCAACGAGUUUAUAGCCUUGUCCGACAGGCCCGGGUAAUCUUUGAAAUUUCGUCAUGAUGGGGAUAGAUUAUUGCAAUUGUUGGUCUUCAACGAGGAAUUCCUAGUAAGCGCGAGUCAUCAGCUCGCGUUGACUACGUCUCUGUCCUUUGUACAUACUGCCCGUCGCUCCUAAAGAUUGAAUGAUUUGGUGUAAUGUUUGGAUCACGGCGACGUGGGCGGUUCGCUACCCGCGACGUCGUGAGAAGUCCAGUAAACCUUAUCAUUCAGAGGAAGGAGAGUACGUAACAAAUUUUCUGUAGGUGAACUUGCGGAAG
This 1783-nucleotide ribosomal RNA is filed under the name Capsicum annuum. RNAcentral describes it as "SSU rRNA". It matches the Rfam family "Eukaryotic small subunit ribosomal RNA". The record is from RNAcentral. Lineage: Eukaryota; Viridiplantae; Streptophyta; Magnoliopsida; Solanales; Solanaceae.